AAAGUGCGAUAAGCACUGUGAAUUGCAGAAUUCAGCGAAUCAGUAGAUCUCUCAACGCAAAUGGUGCUAGGUGAAUUUAUUCACUUGGCAGGCAUGCUUCAGCGUUGCAUUUAUUGCACACACAAACACACACACAUAAUCUUUCGUUUCAUCAUCACGACGACUCGAGAGAGGCUGUUGUUGUUUACCCGGUGUGCAUUUUUGUCGGAUUAAUUUUCGACGAUUGGUUCGCUAACGCUCGCGCUGGCGAAUGGGAACUGCUCAACAUUAUUAAUACAAGAGACUUCUUCUUAAGAAGCUUCUGCUUUAAAACUGUUAGAGCAAACAUCAACCUAAACAACCUGAGGUAUGUCAGAUUACCCGCUGAACUUAA
RNAcentral lists this unclassified non-coding RNA (373 nucleotides) under uncultured fungus. RNAcentral describes it as "sequence contains ITS1". The stretch from base 1 to 107 matches the Rfam family "5.8S ribosomal RNA", at positions 50 to 154 of the family's 154-position model. Lineage: Eukaryota; Fungi. The record is from RNAcentral.